This 1111-nucleotide ribosomal RNA is filed under the name Vibrio sp. 793. RNAcentral describes it as "bacterial SSU rRNA". It matches the Rfam family "Bacterial small subunit ribosomal RNA", at positions 374 to 1478 of the family's 1533-position model. Lineage: Bacteria; Pseudomonadati; Pseudomonadota; Gammaproteobacteria; Vibrionales; Vibrionaceae. The record is from RNAcentral.
GGCGCAGCCUGAUGCGCCAUGCCGCGUGUGUGAAGAAGGCCUUCGGGUUGUAAAGCACUUUCAGUCGUGAGGAAGGUUCAUGCGUUAAUAGCGUAUGGAUUUGACGUUAGCGACAGAAGAAGCACCGGCUAACUCCGUGCCAGCAGCCGCGGUAAUACGGAGGGUGCGAGCGUUAAUCGGAAUUACUGGGCGUAAAGCGCAUGCAGGUGGUUCGUUAAGUCAGAUGUGAAAGCCCGGGGCUCAACCUCGGAACUGCAUUUGAAACUGGCGGACUAGAGUACUGUAGAGGGGGGUAGAAUUUCAGGUGUAGCGGUGAAAUGCGUAGAGAUCUGAAGGAAUACCGGUGGCGAAGGCGGCCCCCUGGACAGAUACUGACACUCAGAUGCGAAAGCGUGGGGAGCAAACAGGAUUAGAUACCCUGGUAGUCCACGCCGUAAACGAUGUCUACUUGGAGGUUGUGGCCUUGAGCCGUGGCUUUCGGAGCUAACGCGUUAAGUAGACCGCCUGGGGAGUACGGUCGCAAGAUUAAAACUCAAAUGAAUUGACGGGGGCCCGCACAAGCGGUGGAGCAUGUGGUUUAAUUCGAUGCAACGCGAAGAACCUUACCUACUCUUGACAUCUAGAGAAGCCAGCGGAGACGCAGGUGUGCCUUCGGGAACUCUAAGACAGGUGCUGCAUGGCUGUCGUCAGCUCGUGUUGUGAAAUGUUGGGUUAAGUCCCGCAACGAGCGCAACCCUUAUCCUUGUUUGCCAGCGAGUAAUGUCGGGAACUCCAGGGAGACUGCCGGUGAUAAACCGGAGGAAGGUGGGGACGACGUCAAGUCAUCAUGGCCCUUACGAGUAGGGCUACACACGUGCUACAAUGGCGCAUACAGAGGGCUGCCAACCAGCGAUGGUGAGCGAAUCCCAAAAAGUGCGUCGUAGUCCGGAUUGGAGUCUGCAACUCGACUCCAUGAAGUCGGAAUCGCUAGUAAUCGUGAAUCAGAAUGUCACGGUGAAUACGUUCCCGGGCCUUGUACACACCGCCCGUCACACCAUGGGAGUGGGCUGCAAAAGAAGUGGGUAGUUUAACCUUUCGAGGAGGACGCUCACCACUUUGUGGUCAUGAUGGG